GCUGCGGCCGGCCUCGAUCCCUAGCCCCGCACCCCGCGCCUCGCUGCUACCGGGCGCCUUUCGCUCGCGGCUCCUCCGUGCGGCCCGCUUCCGGUGGGGCCAGGGCGUCUCCGCCGCAGCUCGGCUCCCGCGCGCUCAGCACCGCCAGCGGCGGCCAGAUGCAGGCGGAGCGAGGAGCUCGGGGAGGCCGUGGGCGGCGGCCAGGCCGCGGCCGGCCUGGCGGAGAUCGCCACAGCGAGCGGCCCGGAGCCGCAGCGGCGGUAGCCAGAGGCGGCGGCGGAGGCGGCGGCGGGGACGGAGGCGGACGCCGGGGCCGUGGCCGUGGCCGGGGCUUCCGCGGCGCUCGCGGAGGCCGAGGAGGAGGAGGCGCCCCGCGAGGCAGCCGCCGGGAGCCGGGAGGCUGGGGCGCAGGGGCCAGCGCGCCGGUUGAAGAUGACAGCGAUGCAGAGACCUAUGGAGAAGAGAAUGAUGAACAGGGAAAUUAUUCUAAAAGAAAGAUUGUCUCUAACUGGGAUCGAUAUCAAGAUAUUGAAAAAGAGGUCAAUAAUGAAAGUGGAGAGUCACAGAGGGGAACAGAUUUCAGUGUCCUCCUUAGCUCUGCAGGGGACUCAUUCUCACAGUUCCGGUUUGCUGAGGAGAAAGAAUGGGAUAGUGAAGCUUCUUGUCCAAAACAGAAUUCAGCAUUUUAUGUGGAUAGUGAGUUAUUGGUUCGAGCCCUUCAAGAGCUGCCUCUCUGCCUCCGACUCAACGUUGCUGCCGAACUGGUCCAGGGUACAGUUCCUUUAGAGGUUCCUCAGGUGAAACCAAAGAGAACUGAUGAUGGCAAGGGAUUAGGGAUGCAGUUAAAGGGGCCCUUGGGGCCUGGAGGAAGGGGGCCCAUCUUUGAGCUGAAAUCUGUGGCUGCUGGCUGCCCUGUGUUGCUGGGCAAAGACAACCCAAGCCCGGGUCCUUCAAGGGAUUCUCAGAAACCCACUUCCCCACUGCAGUCAGCAGGAGACCAUUUGGAAGAAGAACUAGAUCUGUUGCUUAAUUUAGAUGCACCUAUAAAAGAGGGAGAUAACAUCUUACCAGAUCAGACGUCUCAGGACCUGAAAUCCAAGGAAGAUGGGGAGGUGGUCCAAGAGGAAGAAGUUUGUGCAAAACCAUCUGUGACUGAAGAAAAAAACAUGGAACCUGAGCAACCAAGUACCUCCAAAAAUGUUACCGAGGAAGAGCUGGAAGACUGGUUGGACAGCAUGAUUUCCUAAAAAGGGGAAAAAAAGUGCCUGAAGCAAAUCUUGGUUGCCUUCUAACGGCAGGAAGACUGAUGUGAAUUUAUAUGAGGCCAAACCUGCACAUUCAUUCUUGCUCUAUUCCCAGCACAGGCUGUUUGGGAAGCAAGAAGCCAUGUCUCUCUGACACAUGCUGGCAGGGAAGGAGAAAAAUCCCCCUCUGCCCCAAACAAGCAAAACUGAAACCAAUCAAUGUUUGCCACUAAACAUACUUAAAGAUUUAGCAAUAAGCUGAUUCCAUGCCGCUGGUGGAAGACGGAGGAAUGCUUGAGGGAACGUUUAUUGCAUGCUGAAUCCAGAGCUGGAAACCAGGUACCUCUCCCAUUGAAUGAGUGAACUGUAAAGUUUUCCUACAAAGCCAAUGAUGUUUGAAUAUUUGAUAACUGACUUUUUCCUCCCUUGUUCUCUACCUUUCCAUUUCUUUUUCACAUUUAGUCACAAAAUUUGACACAUCCUUUCACUCAUCCUCUCACAUGCACACCUCCAGGCUCCUGUGUCACCCACACAUGAGGUCGUUAUCUUUCUUAGCCUGUCUCUCACUCCGUUGUACUCUGAUUUUUCUGCUCUUUGUUGCAGCCACCCACUCCAUUUCUUAUUGUCAGACAAUUUCUUAUUUCAUAUUGUCUCUGUAAUGUUCUCCCCACCUCCAGCUCUUCUAGUCUGAAGCAGUAGCUAUAAGCAUUUAGAAAAUGUCAGUGUUUGUUGGGAAGGAUAAACAGGAGGACUUUGGCUUCUUAUUGAGUCACAAAAAGGUGAUGGGAAAAUGCAUUCACGGGAUUAAUGGGGCCAUGUAUGUAUUUCAGAUAACCUAUGCCCUACUAAGUCUCAAGAUUUAGGAAAGGGAGAUCUAACACGGGUAUAUGAUUCUUAAUUUCUCACCUGACCCGUGUGCUCUGUUUCAUCUUUAUUAAUCAAAUACAUCAGAAAGAACCUGGAACGAGGAAAAGAUAGUAUUAGAUACUCUGGUCAAGACCCAAGUUCAUUCGCAUGGAUUAACUGUGAUCAGGGCUCAGAAAGGCUAGUUGGUCCCACGCUAUCUACAGUGACUUAAAUGAUCAGGGAAGUGUGGCAUAAGGACACAAACCAUCAUUUUCUAAUAGUAGCACACAUGAAUCUCAAAAUUAGCCACUUUGUGAGGAGAGAUGCUUUUUGCCAUCCCUAUACCUUGAACUAAGUAAGAUCACUUGCAAGGUAGCAUUUUGGCCACCAUUUUAUUGUUAACAAAAUUCUAAUAAAACAAUAAAAUGGUAGCCCAAAUUCUUACCAUAGAAUAUUUAACAGGCCAUUUAUCAUCUCAUAAAAAUGUAGAAUUGAAUUGAAAUUAAUUAUGUGUGUGUCUCAAGAAUAUCUGUCAUGGAAAAGUUAGAAAGUAUUUAAUCUCAUGGAGAUUCUUCCAGAACUAUAGUUUUGUUUUCAUCAUAAAUAGCUGCGGGAAUGCCAGUGUAGUUUCACUUGCUCUGUGAUCCAUAUCUUAGGUUUGAGUUUGUCUGUGACACAUAAGUAUCCCAGGGGGCAGGGGCUGAACUCUCAGCUCACAUUAUAUGAUCUCAGAGACCGUUUCCAAAGGAACCAGGCUCUUGCCCUUCCGGAAAAGGAUUGUGAAGUUGGUGAUAUGAGAAAGUAGAAAUUAUGUCCUUCUGAGGGUGGAGAGUCUAAGCCCCAGAUCUUGAGUUCUGUCAUGGUGGUAUAGUGUAUAGAGCGUCAGGUCCUGGCCCACAGUAGCAGCUCUAAGUAUGUUCACUGCCUUUCCGCUUCUCAUUUACUGAGAAAGACAGUAGGGUUAAUCUCUUUAUCCUGUUUGAUACGUAGGGGCUGAGGACAUCAUUCCUUGCCCAGCACAUUUAUUUAACAAAGCACCAUUUUAGGUGGGAGGCUCAAACACGAAUAAAAUUGGGUUCUUUCCCCUCAAGCUUGCUCCUAGAGGGGAUAGAGAUAGGAAAGAGACCAGUGUAACAGUGCCAUGGGAAGGCACAGAAGGGGUUCCAACCCAAAGGACAGCAUCCUUCCACUGGUCUAUAACCCAUGGGUACAGACACGUGGCCAUGGGCUCAUUAACCUCCAUUAAGAUGUAUAUUCUCUUAAUGGGAAUUGAUGAUAAAUACUCAUGAGGAAGGGCACAGUAAAGUUAUCUUUUUAAAACUCAAGUUUUUGAGGCCGGGUGUGAUGGCUCACGCCUCUAAUUCCAGCACUUUGGGAGGCUGAGGCCAAGGCAGGUGGAUCACUUCAGGUCAGGAGUUUGAGACCAGCUUGGCCAACACGGUGAAACCCUGUCUCUACUAAAAAUACAAAAAUUAGCCCAGGAUGGUGGCAGGUGCCUGUAGUCCCAGCUACUCAGGAGGCUGAGGCAGGAGAAUCACUUGAAUCCAGGAGGUGGAGGCUACAGUGAGCCAAGAUGGCGCCACUGCACUUCAGCCUGGGUGACAGAGACUGUCUCAAUAAAUAAAAAAACAAAACUCAUGUUUUUGACUUAAACUCAUCCCCCAGCAAAAACAUGUUAUCUUUGCCACUUCUGACAAUGCCUUCUCCAAAGGCUGAGCCUGCUCUAGCCUAAAGAAAGAUGAGGGCUCAGCCCAGUGGCUCACACCCGUAAUCCCAGCACUCUGGGAGGCCAAGGUGGGUGGAUAGCUUGAGCUCAGGAGUUCGAGAUCAGCCUGGGCAAUACAGCAAAGCCCCUUCUCUACCAAAAAAAAAAAUUAGCUGGUGCUAAAUUAGUGGUACACCUGUCCCAGCUACUCAGGAGGCUGAGGCGGAUGUCUUGAGCCUGGGAGGUGGAGGUUGCAGUGAGCCAAGAUCAUACCACUGCACUCGAGCCUGGGCAACGGGGUUGAGACCCUAUCUAUCUCGAAAGAUGAGGACUCUCUAAGCUACAAAAUAGAGAGAGAAGGGGGAAGAGCUAGGCUGGGGAGCAGAGCCCAGCAUUUUAUUUUUUUUCUUGUAAAUGAACAGUUACAGGGUCUGAGUUAUCAGGUAAUAAAAUCUAUACACUCUAUACAUUCUGUUUUAAGUUUUAUAGGAAGUCCCUAGCACCCAAUAGGUUCAAGUAACUUGUUAUUCAGUGAAUGCUUUACCGUAGAAUAAGUGAAACACUUAUUAGUUGCCUACUGGGUGCCAGGCAUUGUUCUAGGUACUGGGAUAAAGCAGUAUGAGGCUGGGCACAGUGGCUCACACCUGUAAUCCUAGCACUGAGAGGCCGAGGCAGGCAGAUCACCUGAGGUCAGGAGUUCAAGACCAGCCUGGCCAACAAAAACAAAAAAAGGCAGUAUGAAAACAGACAUGCCCAAAAAUAUCCCAGGUCAUGGGGCUUAGCUAUUAAUGAGAAAAGACAGACAUGAUGAGGCCUGAAAACUGAACACAGAAUUUAGCAACAUGCAGGUUACAGGCCCCUUUGACAAGACCCAAUAUUAUGAUGUAGUGGGAGGAAAGCCUGCCAGUAGGAGGUUCACAGGAGAAUGAAAAGAGAAAAAUUGAAGACAGUGACUGAGCAUGGACAGCUUUCAAUUGUGCUGAAAGGGAAAAAGAAGUAGGGCAAUAGUUGGAAGUAAAAGUGGGGCCACAGAUUUUUCUUUGUUUAGGAUUAAAAAAAAAAAAGCAUAUUUAUAUGGUGAUAGAAGAAGUCCAGUAGAGAAAGAGAAAUUGCUGGAGGUAUGUGUCCCGGAUGGAAUCCAAUCACAGGUUGAGGGGCUGGCCUUUUGCUAGGAGCGGGAAUUGUCCACAACACACGUCUAUCACACAUGGGAGAGACAGAGUCUAUGGACAAAGGUACAGGCUCAUGGGGACUCCUGGAAGUUCCUUUCUGGUUACUCUUUUUCCAGCAGAGACUGAACUAUAUGACCUAAUUGGCUUUAUUUACGCUACAGCUGCCAUUACUUUUGUUAACCAAGAAUACUCACAAGUAGUUGGCUAAGUUGUGCUCUUGUAAUGUAUGUGUUUCAAAACCAUGAGGGGUUGUGUCAAAGUAGUCAUUGCCAAUCCCACAGAUGAAACAUUUAGUCUAAGAAAAAUAACAGGCAGAAAAGGCAUUUGUUGGCAUAAUAUAGGCAGGAGAGAAAACUGUCAUGAUUCUAUCGAAUUGAAGGAUAAUGAAAACUUUCUUUCUAAUGCUUUUGGCUAUUAGUCAUUCACUCAGUAGUGCCAUACAUUGGCUAUUAGUCAUUCACUCAGUAGUGCCAUACACUUAGCUCCUGAUUAGCUGAGGAUACUGCUCCCUCCUAUUGUGGGACAGUGGAGGAGGCAGCAGAGUGGCCGGCCUGGCAGGGGUAUGGCAGGGUGCAGAGAACAGGGCAUGGAAAACAAACUGCGUUCUUGCUUAGUACUGGCCCUAAGUAAUAGUAAAACCUAUUGUUUAAAAAAUCUAUUUGCUUCUGGGGAUAUUAAAAUAGAGCUGGGAUUAGUAGUUAGAGUAACAUUACCUCCAUAUCUUCUCGUACUUGUUCCUGCUGGUCUCUUAGCUCUCCGAAAGCAUCAAUAAUAAGACCUGGAAUGUUAAAUACAAAGACAAAGCAAUCUGUGUAGUGGUUCAGGGGUAGAGGAAUGAUAAAGGAAGAAGCUACUUUGUUCUGUUAAAAAAAAAAAGUGAAUUAUCAAAGCAAAAUUAGAAAAAUAAUACUCGUGUUUCUUUGUGUUACAUCCUGGCUAACAAUUUCUCAUUGUUCCUCCUAACUCUACCUUUCUACACCAUGCAGUGCUGUUAACUACUUGCUCCUCCCUGAAACUCUUUCCUUUCUACUUCUCCCUGGUUGGUCUCCUAUUUUGCUUAGCUAUUUGUGUUCAGUCUGUGUGAUAGGCUCUCCCUCUUCUCCUAGCACCUCUGACACUGAGGUGGAUCAGGGUUCCUCCUCAGUUACUUCACUUCUUAGCCCUCAACACCUGCAUGUCUUACAGGUUCCUCCACUCAGCAUGACUCAAGCUAAAUUUAUCAUCUUUCUCCAAUCUUGACAAGCUGUUGACUAAAAUAUCAUUCUUUCCCUCCCCUCCCCUGCACUGUCCAGCUCCUCUGCUCCUACCCUACCUCCCUCUCUGGGAAGAAAAUGAAGAGGACAAGACUAGCCACAGGAGAGAUCUCAGAAGCAGAAGUGAGGAGUAAAUAAUUCAGAGUAGAGGAACAGAAGGAAGGGGUUCCUCUGUAUGGAUGAAGCUUCUUAUAACUGUGCCUGGGUGUGUAUUUGGCUUUAUAUAUAGCCAAAGCCUCAGGUAUAGUAGAUGCUAAAUUAGUUCUUGCUAAAUUAACAAGUAAAUGAAUUCACACGCUUCUUCAUAAACCAAUUAAGUCAUAGAUGGAAGAAAGCAAAAAGAACUAGAUUAAACCCUGUUCAUACUCAACACAAUUGGCAAUCAUACCUUGAAUGAUGGCCAGCAAGAUGACAAUGACGAAGAAGAAAAAGGUAAUGUCAAAGACAAUGCGAUACAUUUCAUAAGGAUCACCAGCAGGGUCUUCAAUUUCAUCACCAAUGCCACCUCCUGCUCUCACUCCCACGUACAUGUGGAAAAGGUAACACUAGAGAAGAAAAAUAAGGGGGAUUUAGGCAAAAGUCACAGUUCUGUUUUUAGCAAGAUGCUCAGAUCAUUCAUAUGAUUCGGUCAGAUUGUGGCAGCCCUAAGCCACGAGAGGGGAACUCUUCAGAGGUGCCAGUAUUCAUGCUGCUAGCUGCUGUCCACUGCACCCUCUGGACAGUUUGAUAUCUACAAAGAUGGAAAGACUGUCGUUACAUUUAGGCUUUUAAAAGGUAUUUUUAGGCCCAUUAAAGGUGUAUAUAAGUUAAAAGAUCUUUAAGCCUUGAUGAGUAUGGCCUAUGCCAUAUAAUAAUUUUUCCUCAUUUAAUUUUAAGAGUGUUAGCCUGGCCUUCAGGCUGUGCUAUAAACUGCAAAAAGGUCCCCCCUCUUCUUCAUCCACAUUCCCCUUACACCUGGUAGGGCAGGGAUUCCUGCAGCAGGAAGGUCAAAGGUAAUGGACUUUUCUGCUCCUCCUGUUCUGCAGGUUUGAGCCAAUCUAGGCACGGGCUCCCUGAGCAGGGCACCCUCUGUCUCUCCACCUGAUGGGUUGAUUAGACUCACAGAGAAAGGACCGUCUUACACCUGGAAAAUCAAAAGCCAGGGGCAGCCUGAAGACACGCUGGUCAUGCCAGUACUCUAGGGGCUAGGAUUGCUGUCUCAUGACGGUGCUUGGCCCGAGAAAGCACAUGGAGAGUUUUUCGUCAAGAAGUGUUACCUCUUUUAUGGAGAUGCUCACAGACUGGGCAUUUCACUGUCCCCUGUCCCUGAGACACAGAUUCUUUUUCUGAAAUCUGGUCAAAAUAAACUGGCGAUGUUGCUGCAGCCAAGCUGGCUUACUCUGGGCAGUGCCUUUUUUCUCACGAAGAUCUGGCCUGACGGGACUCCCCCUCCCCACCUCCAACCUGAUCCUGCUGCUGGCUGUCCGCAAAGAACCUCCGACUGGCUUGCUGAAAUAAAUCAAGUGCUUAAUCCCGGUCCAUGGGACUUUGCUCUCUGUUCUGAGAGACGAUGAUCAAAGCUCAACUUCCAUGAAAUUUAGACACUGGUUUCAUUCAUAAUAAUGUCUCAUCUUGGCCAGGUGCAGUGGCUCACGCCUGUAAUCCCAGCACUUUGGGAGGCAGAGGUGGGCAGAUCACCUGAGGUCGGGAGUUUGAGACCAGCCUGACCAACAUAGAGAAACCCCAUCACUACUAAAAAAAAUACAAAAUUAGCCAGGUGUGGUGGUGCAUGCCUGUAAUCCCAGCUACUAGGGAGGCUGAGGCAGAAGAAUCACUUGAACCUGAGAGGCGGAGGUUGCAAUGAGCUGAGAUGACGCCAUUGCACUCCAGCCUGGGCGACAAAAGCAAAACUCCAUCUCAAAAAAAUAAAAUAAUGUCUCAUCUUUACCCCGGAAAUAGAUGAAUGAUGACGCCACUGUGCAGGGUGCUUCCCUUUCCACGGGGCUUAGAUGUGUGGUAAUGAAAACUACCUCCAUCACUUCUGUCUUCCCAGGACACUCUCCUGUUUGGAGAAGACAUCUGUCUUCUACUUUAAUCUCUGCUGUGCUCUGUAACUAACUCUACAGUUCUCAAGAGCACCCCCACACAGCCCUUCUUCCCAGUGAGGUGGUGGGGCGGGGUGGCCCCGCAGUGGGUGGGCUGGCCCCGCAGUGGGUGGGCUCUCACCGUCAUCAUGUCGUCGCACUUCAUAUCGGGCUCGUCAUCGUCUUCGCUUUUGUUGUAGAACUUGCGGAAGAAGUUGAAAGCCACCACAGUAUAGAGAUAAACCACCACGGCCAGGAGACCGACAGUCAGAACCAACUGGGAAUGAGAGGACAGAGAAAGGAAAAGGAGUGGGGUCUUCUCUACCUUGAAAGGUUCACAGGAGACUCUAAGAAAACGAGGAGGAAGAGUGAGGACGGGCAAGGAGAGGAAAUGGGGAAGGGGUGGAGGGCGGCUAAGAAAGCUAUCAGGCCAUGAGCAGAGGAGGAAAGAUGGCACCACAGGUAAAGAGAAGCGGGCUUCCUGGCAGAAAAGAGUAAUGAUGGGGUGUUGGGGGCUGAAUUGUGUCCCUUCAAAUUCAUAUGCUGAGGUCCUGGCCUCCAGUACCUCAGAAUGUGACUGUAUUUGGAGAUGGAGAUACAGCCUUCAAAGAGGUGAGUAAGUUAAACUGAGGUUGUUAAGAUGGGCCCGCAACCAAUCUCACCGGCAUCCUUAGAAGAAAAGGAGUUGGAGACACAGAGAGAGAGGCUAGACACAGGCACACGUGAAGGGACGGUCAGGGGAAGCGGCAGCGAGAGGGUGCUGUCUACAGCCACAGAGAGGCCCCUGAGGAGACCAGGUGCUGGUGCUGCCAGCACCAUGAUACUGGACUUACUUACCGCCUCCAGAACUGUCGAAAAGACAUUUCUGUUGUUUAACAAAAUAGCAGUCUGUAGUACUUCGUUCUGGCAGCCCAAGCAGACUAAUGUAUAGGGCAUUAGAUUGGGCGUAAGUAAAAUAUAAAGGAACUUAAGUAUUGAAUAGUGCAGGUGCUGUGAGGAGGGAUACAUUGUGUUUUGUUAUUGUUCAUACAGAGCUAGCUGUUACCUGAGGCUUCACAAUGUAGCUUCUACUCUAAUGCUGCUGCUUAAAAAACCCCAGGCCGGGCAUGGGGUGGCUCACGCCUGUAAUCCCAGCACUUUAGGAGGCCGAGGCGGGCGGAUCACGAGGUCAGGAGGUCGAGAUCAGCCUGGCCAACAUGGUGAAACCCUGUCUCUACUAAAAAUACAAAAAUUAGCUUGGCGUGGUGGUGUGUGCCUGUAAUCCCACCUACUUGGGAGGCUGAGGCAGGAGAAUCGCUUGAACCCAGGAGUCGGAGGUUGCAGUAAGCUGAGAUCGCGCCACUGCACUUCAGCCUUGUGGCAGAGUGAGACUCCGUCUCAAAAAAACAAACAAACAAACAAACAAAAAACCCAAAGGUUCUUUGGACUGGUGGAUAUCCCUACCUUAUACUAUUUCAUAAAUAAUCAUGCACUGGAUAAUUGUCACAACUUUGAAGUUACUCUAAGAAUUAUGAUGGUGGAGCUGAGUCACACUUUUUAUUACAGAGAAUUCUGCCCAGGCCCUUUGCAGUGUCCUAGGGCACGCUUACUUCCAGGCUUUAGGAGUGAGAGUUCACUGGCUUAAGUGAGGAGUACACAGGACCUGCACAUCUGACCUCUCUCAAGGACUAGGCAUUGAGCUGGGAGAUAGGAAGAUCAACAGGAUCAGAGCUUUGCCUUCAAGGAGCCACACAAAAGGGAGUGGGUCCAUUCUGUUCUGCAUCAGUAGAAACCAUACCUGUUUGCCAUUGUGAGUUACAGAUGACAGAAUGGUCCUCAGUGUCUUGAAGCCCAUUGCGAUGUCCAAUAGGUGAGCAGCAAAGAAGAAGUUAUUGUAGUGGCCCAGGACUGACAUGGUUGUAUACCAGGCAAGGUAGAGAAAGGACUGGGAAUGGAAGAAAGCAGACUUUUAAGCAUGUUUGCCUCAUAGUGUGCUCAUUAUAAAACAUUUUUUCUUAUUUUGGGAGACACACUGAGGAUAGAGGGGGUUUAGGUGCUGAGGUGCUGUGAGCUGGCCCAAGAUCUGCUAAGUGAGCCCCAUCUACCUUAUACCAUUGUAUAAGUGUUCCCCCAGCACGUAUAAGGCUCUUGGUCUUUGAUAAGCAAUCCCUGAACCCUUCUGAGCAUCCUGCAUAGCUUGCUUCUCUGUGGCAUCCCUGAACUGGGGUAUAGAAUUUUGUUUUUCCAGGUGCAGUACUUACGUUGUCAGUAAAAACAACUCCAAGCUUCCAGAUAUGGUACUUCAUGUCUAUGGAACUUAGCCUAGAGAAGAACAAGUGAUUUUAAAACUUAUAAAUGUCAAGAGGUAGUUAAGUGCUCAAUAAGGGGGAAAAAGUAAGUUUUUUCUCUCAGGUUUAAUAACCUAAAUAUGGCUCUCAGCUUUAUCAAGUUGUAUGUGCUCCCCAUGAGACAAGAGAACAGUUGAAUCACAUAGCCUGAAUUUUUUUUUUUUUUUGAAACGGAGUCUCACUCUAUCACCCAGGCUGGAGUGUAGUGGCGUGAUCUUGGCUUACUGCAACCUCCACCUGCCAGGUUCAAGCGGUUCUCCUGCCUCAGCCUCCCAAGCAGCUGGGACUACAGGUGCCCACCACCACGCCUAGCUACUUUUUAAAAAUAUUAUUAGUAGAGACGGGGUUUCACUAUGUUGGCCAGGCUGGUAUCGAACUCCUGACCUCAUGAUCUGCCCACCUCAGCCUCCCAAAGUGCUGGGAUUACAGGUAUGAGCCACUGCGCCCAGCCCAACCUGAAAUUUUAAUUAAGUCUUUAUCUUUCAGCUCUAUAGGGCAUAAAAAUGUAUUAGUCUUCAAAUUUUUAAGGCAGUGCUCUCCCAGUGUUAGAACCUAGAAGAAACACCUAAGCCAGACCACAGCCUGAGAGAACAAAGACACGGUUGUGAUUUUUUCCUAUGGAAAAGCAAAGAUCUAUCUAUUUUAGCUGCUUUGGAUUUGAACUCCUAAGCUUUUUGUACCAUGACACCAGAGAAGCCGCUUCUGCUUUGGUCUCUUCUACUGGGCUAAAGUCAAGAGCAUUUUUGUCCAAACCCAGAAGUUCAGCAAUGCGUUCUGCUCCGUAGAGAUCUCCAUACUUGUUGAUCACCUGAAGCAAAGGAUGACAGGGUGAGCUCAGGCCACACGCCACCACCAAAUAUUUUCUAGCUCUGGGGUCUUCAGAGCUUUGCUGCCCUAUGGGCAAUCUUCCAAGGGGUAGAUGAAGACAUAGUUCAAAAUGCAGAAAAAAGAGAAAACCCAGAGAAAAAAGCAAUGAAGACAAUUAAAUGAUAACUGUUUUUUAAGCUGAUACUGAUAUCUUGAUUUGCAGGGGAGAAAACAUCUACUAUGCAGAAAACAAUGAGGACUGUGUUAACUUGUUUAAGGCAGAUGAGUAUAUGAAUGAAGCCAAAAACCUACAUAUGUUCAUAUCCAACCCCUUCUGUGACUUACUCUUCUUGAGAUAUUAUCAUAAAAGUAGCAUCACAUUUACUCAUGUUUGUAUGUGGAGAACUUAAAAAACAUACACCACAUUUUUUGGUGAUCACGGAACUCACCCCCACUAACAAGGCAUACCUUUCUCUUUACAAACUUGUCCCAGUAGUUAUUAGGAAAAGAUCUGAAAAACAAAACGAAAAAGGUUGGUUCUUCAUUCUUAACAUCAAGGAAAACACAUCAAGAAACGUUUCAGUUUGAGUGCCUGGAUCUGGGAUCUUUCUGGUUUGUGUCCUGCUCACCAAAGAAUUUUAAGAUCUGAUUGAAGUUCAGAGUCAUCACAGGCUCUACUGAGUCAUGUAUGGCUUCAUUACUUUGUAUUGGCUUUUGAAACACUCAGAAGGCCACUGGGCAGUUUCUGCCUCAGAAUUAUGAUUUGGAGCCAAGAAUUGUGAUGACAGAUUAGACAGAGACAGUUGUAUGUUUCUAAGUCCUUUCCCUAAUCCCAGUAUAACCAGAAACAAAAUGCUACAGAAAACACAGGCAUUCCAUUCAAUGAGUCACUACUUUAUGUCACCUACUGGGGUAGAUAAUGGCGAUGCGGGAUGUGGGGUGUGGUAGAAAGUGUAGAUAAAGUCCCUAACUAUAUGCAGUUUCCAGUCUGGGAAUCACCUUUAGUUUAUUUACAUUGGAUUUUUUAAGCUGAGUGUUUUUCCACUCUAUUUUCUAUUCCCACGUAAUGCCACAGGGCCUGCUUUCCUCCAGGAGUUGGAUCCCUUUCUUUUUUGGAGAUGGUUCUGUACCAUCCCCUAGCAUCCCCAGAGAGAUGAUCUUUCUUCUCUCUGUAGCUUGUACCAGCUCCACUGCAAAUAUUUCUUACUGUUAAAGUUAAGAAAGAACUGUCAUCUUCAGGAAUGCUUGCAAAAACCAUUGAAAAUAUGUUGUUCCUAUCCAGAAUUACUGAAUCCUUCCUGUGGGGGGGUUCCUUGUAAGACUGGAUUGCAGCCUAGGAGUCUCUGGCCUUUGGUGCAUGCAUUCUUACUUUUGUUUUCCUUUAUUUGAUUCAUUCUUUUUGGUUCUAGAACACAACAGUUCCCUAUUCUCCAGAGACCACCCAAGUUGGUGAUAAGGAAAUGGAGACCUCCUACUAUUCACUGACCUCUCAUGCCGCCUCUCCCCCAACAGGGUGGCAGUAUUUAAAAAAAAAUGUUUUUUUUUUUUGGUUUGUUAAAGCAGUUUCUUUGUCUUAAACAUUUAAAUGCCACUUGAAAGCAAAAACAAAUGCUGGUGUUACAGAGUAAACUGCUAAUAUUUUAUCUCUGGGGGAUGAAAAUAACAAUUAUUUUGACUUUCUUCCUUGUACAUUGCUCCUUGAUUUUUUUAUGCACUGCAUUUAAAUUGAAAAUAAAACAAAUAAAAAUCAAGCCAUGCGCUCUCUGCCACACUGA
Molecule: RNA transcript, 13192 nt
Organism: Homo sapiens (human)
Lineage: Eukaryota; Metazoa; Chordata; Mammalia; Primates; Hominidae
Gene: AVEN
Gene name: apoptosis and caspase activation inhibitor
Exons: 8
Source: RefSeq, marked validated